This 253-nucleotide ribosomal RNA is filed under the name uncultured bacterium. Its description in RNAcentral is "partial 16S ribosomal RNA". It matches the Rfam family "Bacterial small subunit ribosomal RNA", at positions 524 to 776 of the family's 1533-position model. The record is from RNAcentral.
UACGUAGGGUGCAAGCGUUAAUCGGAAUUACUGGGCGUAAAGCGUGCGCAGGCGGUGAUGUAAGACAGAUGUGAAAUCCCCGGGCUCAACCUGGGAAUUGCAUUCGAGACUGCAUGGCUAGGAUGCGGAAGAGGGAAGCGGAAUUUCCGGUGUAGCGGUGAAAUGCGUAGAUAUCGGAAGGAACACCAGUGGCGAAAGCGGCUUCCUGGUCCAGCAUCGACGUUCAGGCACGAAAGCGUGGGGAGCAAACAGG